GAUGGACCCGCGUCUGAUUAGCUGGUUGGUGAGGUAACGGCCCACCAAGGCGACGAUCAGUAGCCGGCCUGAGAGGGUGAACGGCCACAUUGGGACUGAGACACGGUCCAGACACCUACGGGUGGCAGCAGUCGAGAAUCAUUCACAAUGGGGGCAACCCUGAUGGUGCGACGCCGCGUGGGGGAAUGAAGGUCUUCGGAUUGUAAACCCCUGUCAUGUGGGAGCAAAUUAAAAAGAUAGUACCACAAGAGGAAGAGACGGCUAACUCUGUGCCAGCAGCCGCGGUAAUACAGAGGUCUCAAGCGUUGUUCGGAAUCACUGGGCGUAAAGCGUGCGUAGGCUGUUUCGUAAGUCGUGUGUGAAAGGCAGGGGCUCAACCCCUGGAUUGCACAUGAUACUGCGAGACUAGAGUAAUGGAGGGGGAACCGGAAUUCUCGGUGUAGCAGUGAAAUGCGUAGAUAUCGAGAGGAACACUCGUGGCGAAGGCGGGUUCCUGGACAUUAACUGACGCUGAGGCACGAAGGCCAGGGGAGCGAAAGGGAUUAGAUACCCCUGUAGUCCUGGCAGUAAACGGUGCACGCUUGGUGUGCGGGGAAUCGACCCCCUGCGUGCCGGAGCUAACGCGUUAAGCGUGCCGCCUGGGGAGUACGGUCGCAAGAUUAAAACUCAAAGAAAUUGACGGGGACCCGCACAAGCGGUGGAGUAUGUGGCUUAAUUCGAUGCAACGCGAAGAACCUUACCUGGGCUUGACAUGUAAUGAACAACAUGUGAAAGCAUGCGACUCUUCGGAGGCGUUACACAGGUGCUGCGUGGCCGUCGUCAGCUCGUGUCGUGAGAUGUUUGGUUAAGUCCAGCAACGAGCGCAACCCCUGUUGCCAGUUACCAUCGAGUAAUGUCGGGGACUCUGGCGAGACUGCCCAGAUCAACUGGGAGGAAGGUGGGGACGACGUCAGGUCAGUAUGGCCCUUAUGCCCAGGGCUGCACACGUACUACAAUGCCCAGUACAGAGGGGGCCGAAGCCGCGAGGCGGAGGAAAUCCUGAAAACUGGGCCCAGUUCGGACUGUAGGCUGCAACCCGCCUACACGAAGCCGGAAUCGCUAGUAAUGGCGCAUCAGCUACGGCGCCGUGAAUACGUUCCCGGGUCUUGCACACACCGCCCGUCA
Molecule: ribosomal RNA, 1164 nt
Filed under: uncultured bacterium
Lineage: Bacteria
Description: bacterial SSU rRNA
Rfam family: Bacterial small subunit ribosomal RNA
Source: RNAcentral